RNAcentral lists this ribosomal RNA (253 nucleotides) under uncultured bacterium. RNAcentral's name for it is "partial 16S ribosomal RNA". It matches the Rfam family "Bacterial small subunit ribosomal RNA", at positions 524 to 776 of the family's 1533-position model. The record is from RNAcentral.
UACGUAGGGUGCGAGCGUUGUCCGGAAUUAUUGGGCGUAAAGAGCUCGUAGGCGGUCUGUCGCGUCGGAUGUGAAAACUCGGGGCUCAACCCCGAGCCUGCAUUCGAUACUGCCGUGCUUGAGGACUGGAGAGGAGACUGGAAUUUACGGUGUAGCGGUGAAAUGCGUAGAUAUCGUAAGGAAGACCAGUGGCGAAGGCGGGUCCCUGGACAGUUCCUGACGCUGAGGCACGAAGGCCAGGGGAGCAAACGGG